GUAACCCGCUGAACCUCCUUCGUGCUUAGGGAUCGUGGCUUGCAAUUUUUCCACGUGAACGAGGAAUUCCCAGUAAGCGCGAGUCAUCAGCUCGCGUUGAUUACGUCCCUGCCCUUUGUACACACCGCCCGUCGCUACUACCGAUUGAACGGUCGCAUUGAGGUCUUCGGAGUGGACGCGCGUUAUUCGGCCCCCUCGGGGGCUGGGUCGUCGCGCGAUCGCGAAGAUGACCGAAAUCGGCCGUUUAGAGGAAGUAAAAGUCGUAACAAGGUUUCCGUAGGUGAACCUGCGGAAGGAUCAUUA
RNAcentral lists this non-coding RNA (303 nucleotides) under Acyrthosiphon pisum (pea aphid). RNAcentral's name for it is "Eukaryotic small subunit ribosomal RNA". It matches the Rfam family "Eukaryotic small subunit ribosomal RNA", at positions 1546 to 1831 of the family's 1831-position model. The record is from Rfam by way of RNAcentral. Lineage: Eukaryota; Metazoa; Arthropoda; Insecta; Hemiptera; Aphididae.